This 501-nucleotide ribosomal RNA is filed under the name uncultured bacterium. Its description in RNAcentral is "partial 16S ribosomal RNA". It matches the Rfam family "Bacterial small subunit ribosomal RNA", at positions 28 to 506 of the family's 1533-position model. The record is from RNAcentral.
GACGAACGCUGGCGGCGUGCCUAAUACAUGCAAGUCGAACGAACCGCGACUAAGUGCUUGCACUAAGUCAAGGUGAGUGGCGAACGGGUGAGUAACACGUGGGUAACCUACCUCAUAGUGGGGGAUAACAGUCGGAAACGACUGCUAAUACCGCAUAGGACAUAGGAUCACAUGAUCCAGUGAGGAAAGGUGGCGCAAGCUAUCGCUAAGAGAUGGACCCGCGGUGCAUUAGCUAGUUGGUAGGGUAAAGGCCUACCAAGGCGAUGAUGCAUAGCCGACCGGAGGGGGGGAACGGCCACUGUGGGAGUGAGACACGGCCCAAACACCUACGGGAGGCAGCAGUAGGGAAUCUACCGCAAAGGACGGAAGUCUGACGGAGCAACGCCGCGUGAGUGAAGAAGGUCUGCGGAUCGUAAAGCUCUGUUGUUAGAGAAGAACAGCGCAUAGAGUAACUGCUAUGCGUGUGACGGAAUCUAACCAGAAAGCCACGGCUAACUACGU